AUUGAACGCUGGCGGCAUGCUUUACACAUGCAAGUCGAACGGCAGCGCGGGCUUCGGCCUGGCGGCGAGUGGCGAACGGGUGAGUAAUGCAUCGGAACGUGCCCAGUAGUGGGGGAUAGCCCGGCGAAAGCCGGAUUAAUACCGCAUACGACCUGAGGGUGAAAGCGGGGGACCGAAAGGCCUCGCGCUAUUGGAGCGGCCGAUGUCGGAUUAGCGAGGUGGUGGGGUAAAGGCUUACCAAGGCGACGAGCCGUAGCUGGUCUGAGAGGACGACCAGCCACAGCGCGACUGAGACACGGCGCACCGUCCGGCGGGAGGCAGGCGUGGGGAAUUGUGGACGGGCGGGACCACCCGGAGCAGCACAGGCGGCGUGCGGGACGCAUCCCUUCUGUUUCUAACCCGCUUUUGUUCGGUAACACCUCCUCUGUGAUAACCCCCCGGGGGGAUGCCGGUAGAGGAAAACUACGCCCCGGCUCACUACGUCCCAGCAGCCGCGGUAAUAAUGGGAACAGCCCACGUCCUGAAC
RNAcentral lists this ribosomal RNA (526 nucleotides) under uncultured bacterium. RNAcentral's name for it is "partial 16S ribosomal RNA". It matches the Rfam family "Bacterial small subunit ribosomal RNA", at positions 35 to 539 of the family's 1533-position model. The record is from RNAcentral.